Orbicella faveolata is the source of this 753-nucleotide long non-coding RNA. RefSeq lists it as uncharacterized. The record is from RefSeq and is a predicted model, not a curated record. Lineage: Eukaryota; Metazoa; Cnidaria; Anthozoa; Scleractinia; Merulinidae.
GGCCGUUACACCUAUAAAGAAUUUCACAUUCUUUGGCUUCCAGCCGCUUUGCAAAAAUCAGAAAGAAAACUUCUGGGCCGCGAGGUAGGGUUUGAACCAUGCAAGCGCGACAUUGGUCAUCCAUGCAUAACUGAAAUGAAUAUACAUUACAGCGUCAGAAAAGCAACAACUAAUAAAUUACUCGGCUUAAUAUAGUCCUGAAGUGGGUUUACGAACGGCCAGUGGCGAAAACGGAAUCGCAACACGAAGCUUCACUUUAAUCAGGGUUUUUUUUAACUGGUGCUGUUUAAUCGGCACCACUGAGAUGAUGAAAGAAUUGUUACGUGAUAUCGUGACCACUGGAUCAAGCAGAUAAAGUUCGAUAAAGCUGCUAUUGAAAAGAUUUUACAAUUAUUGUCCAGUGGAGUUGCUUGCUGAAAUAAAGAAUCGAAGGACCUUUUGAUUAAUGUUAAAGUAUUGUUAUGUUAACAUAAUAUAUUUUCAAAUCUUGGUGACAAUCAUUUCAUGGAAAGAUGAUAGACUUCCUUAAUAUCACUUCCAGUAUAAAGUCCUUUGUGAUAAGUCUCAUAUACUUUGACUACUUUGAAUGUUAAUGCAACUGAAAAUUUCAAAAAAUGACAAUUUUAAAAAGGUUGGCAAUUUACUUAAUUCAAAUCCAUGUAUUUUAUAGAUUUCUAACACAAAAUUAAUUCUAUGGAUGGUACAAUGCAUAAUUAAACGUCCAUAUGUAAAUAUAUAUGACUAUAAUGACAA